Long non-coding RNA from Ochotona curzoniae (black-lipped pika), 2869 nucleotides. RefSeq lists it as uncharacterized. The transcript is spliced from 3 exons. NCBI's taxonomy places the organism in Eukaryota, Metazoa, Chordata, Mammalia, Lagomorpha, Ochotonidae. The record is from RefSeq and is a predicted model, not a curated record.
CUUUUGGAGCUGCCCUUGCAUAGGGGAAAAUCAGGGUCUAGUUGAGCAUUAAAAUAUAUAUUAGGUGUUAUUAGCUACCUAGCAAGGAAGAAGUUACAGGGUGGAGGAAAUAAUGGAAAAUACGCAGGACUAGUUUGAUUUGGACCUCUAAGUUCCCCUAGGUAUCUUUUUAACAUGUUACAUGCAAUACGUUUUUGCUUUCGGUGGGGACUAUAAAUUACAGAAAUGACCAGUUUUAUCUCUUUGUCUGUUCCCACAGCCCCUCUGUGUGGCAGGCAAGCAGAGGGCCAAAUGUGUGGACCAAGUGUUGUCAAUGAUCUGUGUAUUGAUGGCUCCAGGUGUGCAUAUGAGUGUGGGUAGCCACAUUUUUUGUUCUAGUACCUGUCUCAUUUUCCUCACUUUGAAUUGAUGUACUCUUUUCAGCAUGGGAUUGGUAGGUACUUGCAUACGUAUAUGUACAGUUCCAGUGACAGGGAAGUCUAAGGUGGGUUCCGACAGCUCUACCUUCUGGGGUACACAGGCCUCCCACUUAGGUACUCAAAAACAAGUUUAGGCGCUACUUCAUGCGAUUCUGCAGAUAUAAUUAAGGUCUUUCAGGUGACUUUAAAAUUAGGUGACCCCUUGAGAAAGGGGGAGGGCCUUAGGAGAAAAAAAAACCCAGAGGCCUGUGACAUGGGGGAAUUAUCCUUGUGUGCUUUGAAGACCACCAUGGUGUGACACUUCUCUCCUGCAAUGGCAAGGACCCAGACUCUGCCCUAGCAGGAGAGGGCUGCUGAGCUGCAGGUGGGAACGCAGCUGGCUGAUGGUGACUUGAGCCUUUCCAGAGCUGAGACGGAGGACCCAGCCACCACACGCCCAGACUCCAGAACGGAUGGUGUUGAUAGAGACUGUGUCUCCACUGUAACCAGAACGGGGCUUACAGGUCCUCACUUUCCACCAAGCCGGGAGUCAGCGUCAGAAUAUCUGGGGCGGUGGCACUCCUGAAACACGGCAUUCCAGCCGUACCGGGUAGCCUUCAGCGACUCCUGUGUUCUGCAGCUUCUCCAGAAACACGGGGGGUUUGUGCGCUUCUUUAGCUGCAACGAGAUGAAUUCCCUGUCAGCGAUGGAGUGGGCACUCACCAAAGAAUUCAGAGACCCAGCACGCUGCGCUCUUUCUUAAGGCCAUUUUCACUUUGGGUGGUAGGAGGAGGCUCUGUCUCCAACUUAAGUUUUUUACCAAGCAAAGGUUCAUUUGCUUCAUUCCACUGACUCUUUCCUCAAAUUAGGUCUGACAGACCCCCACAGUGCACUGGCCAUCUGCCACAUGGCAUGCCUGACACCAUGGGGAGAUGCCUCAGUCAUCACUUCGGCUUCACUCCUGAACUGCACUCACAGCCUUUACCAACUGCUGCCACCUAGUGACGGGACCAUGACAGUGCUUCUGGGUUAGCUGCCCUGAGACAGCACAGCAUUUCAGGGGAGGCAUCCCUAACGUUAGCAGCCUUAAAGAGGUCCCUCUAAACUAGGAGUGUGUAUCCUAUAAAUUACAAAUUCUCCUUACUAGUUUUUGUAACACUAUAAAAAAAGACAACUUUAUGACUUGGUCUGAAAAUUGCUAAUAACACUGAAAGAAAGUUACCAUCCAGUGGGAAAUGGCUUUCUUGUCUCAGUGCUGAAAAUUUCAGGGAUAAGGUCUUAUUUUCUUCUGAGCUACCUGUGACAAAUUUGAGGAUAUGUGUCUAUCUCCACCACCAGUGCCUCAUCAAGAGACAAAAGAGCAUUUCUGUUCAUGCUGGAUGUUGCCAGCUGCUUUGCUAUGUAUGUUUAAGCUCCUAGGCUUAAGGUCUUGAGUUAGAGGAUUAUAUCUAUGGAAUCUUACAUGAUAGCUUAUUUGCAAGGCAGAAUUAUGGGAGAUUCAUUCCCCAGUUCCUGUGGUGGCCAGGAAGGAGCUGGGCUGUCCCCUGUGCUGGCAGGUACCCGGUCGCUUGACCUCUCAGUGCAUGCAUUAGUGGGCAGCUGGAUUGGAGGUAGAACAGCCUCUCCUAGACGGUAGAGGCACCGCAAGGCAUGCCACACGAUUACCUGACCAAGGCUUAUUUAGGGGGAAGUAAAGUGAGGUUCAUCUCAUCCUAUCUGAACAGAUGACAGCGGUUAAGACACACUUUAAUGUCAGAGAAACACACAUUCCAUUUUGAGCCACUGCAUUACCAGGCCUGGUUAUGCACAUUUUAUCUUAAGUCGUUAUCCAAAGGGUGGGGAGGCCGAGAUGGCAGUCAGUUACAAAGGUCGGCUACUAUGUUUGCUCCAGGCCCUGCACACUGAGCUGUUGCCAGAAGUGCUAAUGGAAGCGCACCAAGAUACCUCUGUCCCUGGGCCCCUCCUGGGGCCUGAAGGACAGGGGUGAUCAACGCAUCUAACAACAGCUUUAGUGUGUGGUCGAAGGAAUGAAGUCAACCCUGCUGUCUGGGAAUAUGGAAUACAUUGCACAAAACAUUAAAAGCAUGGAUAUCUUGCAGCACCACAAUCCACAUUUCAAUCGUACUGUUGUGUAGAAGUAUCUAGGUGCCGUGAUCUGGACUGGGACCCUUGCUGGUGCCACCCACAGAGGAAUCUCAGGUAUAUCCCGCUUUGGCCUAGACCAGCCCUAGUUGUUGCAGCUGUUUAGGAAUUGAAUCAGAGGAUGGGGGAUCUCUUUGAAAAACAUUCUUGGAUUUAAAGAUUAUUGCCCACAACAUUAAGAGCUCUGCAUAUAAAGAAUUUGCUGGGACCAGUGUUAUGCUGUGGCUGGUUACUAGUUCCGGUUCAGGUCUCAGCUGCUUCGCUUUUGAUCUAGCACCUUCCUGCUUGGGCCCCUGUACCCACUGGCGAGACCUGAAAAAAGCUCUUGG